Molecule: ribosomal RNA, 253 nt
Filed under: uncultured archaeon
Lineage: Archaea
Description: partial 16S ribosomal RNA
Rfam family: Archaeal small subunit ribosomal RNA
Source: RNAcentral
GACCCGCAGCGCGAGAGGUAGUCGCUUUCAUUGAGCGUAAAGCGUUCGUAGUCGGCUUUGUAAAUCCCUGGGUAAAUUGGGCCGCUUAAGGGUACAAAUUCCGUGGAGACUGCAAGGCUAGGGAGCAGGCGAGGUCAGAGGUACUUUAGGGGUAGGAGUGAAAUCCGGUAAUCCCGAGGGGACCACCUGUGGCGAAAGCGACUGACUUGAACGGCUCCGACGAUGAGGAAAGAAGGCUAGGGGAGCAAACCGG